CAGGCUUACUCUCGAAAUCAAUCUCAAUCUCAAUUUAGUCUCAAUGCAAUUCCAAUCACAAUUUUGUUUGUUACUCUUGAAGUCAUUACUAUUGCGAUUGUAUUGGCAUUGGGAUUGUGUCGUAAUUGUCGAUUCCACUGUACGUCAACAUGACAUCAACCUGUCAGCCACGGAAAUAGAACAAAUGAAUGAACGAAAACUUUAAUAAAAAUUAUAAAAUUUAAGUAAUUUUAAAGAAAAUUAUUUAUAUUCAGAGGUACUUUUAUCAAAAAUGCUUAUUUCUUACUAAUAACAUAUUUUUUAGACAAGAAUGAUCAAAUUAAAUUUUUGAAUCGGCUUAUUUGGCUGUAUGAGUUUAUUCCUGUGUCUCAACAUGUGUAGAGUUUACAAAAAAAAGUCAUAAAACAACCAGCCGACGGCCGGUUACACUUACUUAUUAAACCUAUACAAAAAGAAAUAAAUCAAUCAGCUGAAGCUGAAAAUCCAUAUUGUGUUUUAAGUGCUCGGCGCUCUUAAGUUUGUGGGACGAAGUUACCAAAAAUGAAGUUUAAAGUUGCUACAAUAUUCACGGCACAACAACGUUGUUUCUUCUUUGUUUACACUCCGAAAUCAAGUAUUGGGCAGAAAAGAAGUCUGCCUUGAAGAAGCUGUGCAACGGGCUCAGUCCAUGAGGCGCACUGGCGGUAGCUUAGAUAUGGUGCUAGGGCUGUCACUACUUUUUAUUUAUUUGUGGCAGUCAGUGGCAGUCAUGGGUGGUGGGUGACUCUCUUGCCACAGGUACCAGAGGAAUAGCUGUAGACCCCUUUCCACAAAGUAAUUCUCGCCCUUCUAUAUUAAUAGACCUGCCAUCCACAUCACAGGCUGCCACUGAAACCCUGGAAAUAGAGCAAGAAAUUCAUAUUCAUAAUCCACAGCCUCCUGUGGAGGCAGGGCUGCAGAUAGAACACAGCGAGCAGCAAGGCGAAAAAAGUUUUGUAGGCAUUAUAUGAUUCCAUACUAAUAUUUAUGAAGUUCUGUGUAGAUUUUUAAAUGUUAUUUAAAUAAUAAUUUAUUAAUUAUUACAAAUUAUAUUAGUGUUCUCUGUAUUUUAGGUCAAUAAAGAUUAUAAACAAUAAAUAUAUUUUUUUAAAUAAUGAUUGUUUUUA
Plodia interpunctella (Indianmeal moth) is the source of this 1145-nucleotide long non-coding RNA. RefSeq lists it as uncharacterized. The transcript has 3 exons. The record is from RefSeq and is a predicted model, not a curated record. NCBI's taxonomy places the organism in Eukaryota, Metazoa, Arthropoda, Insecta, Lepidoptera, Pyralidae.